AGUGAACGCUGGCGGUAGGCCUAACACAUGCGAGUCGAACGGCAGCACAGUAAGAGCUUGCUCUUACGGGUGGCGAGUGGCGGACGGGUGAGGAAUACAUCGGAAUCUACUUUUUCGUGGGGGAUAACGUAGGGAAACUUACGCUAAUACCGCAUACGACCUACGGGUGAAAGCAGGGGAUCUUCGGACCUUGCGCGAAUGAAUGAGCCGAUGUCGGAUUAGCUAGUUGGCGGGGUAAAGGCCCACCAAGGCGACGAUCCGUAGCUGGUCUGAGAGGAUGAUCAGCCACACCGGAACUGGGACACGGUCCAGACUCCUACGGGAGGCAGCAGUGGGGAAUAUUAGACAAUGGGCGCAAGCCUGAUCCAGCCAUACCGCGUGGGUGAAGAAGGCCUUCGGGUUGUAAAGCCCUUUUGUUGGGAAAGAAAAGCAGCAGGUUAAUACCCCGCUGUUCUGACGGUACCCAAAGAAUAAGCACCGGCUAACUUCGUG
This 492-nucleotide ribosomal RNA is filed under the name uncultured bacterium. Its description in RNAcentral is "partial 16S ribosomal RNA". It matches the Rfam family "Bacterial small subunit ribosomal RNA", at positions 29 to 507 of the family's 1533-position model. The record is from RNAcentral.